AUUUCAAAAUAUAAAACAAAUAUGUAUCUCUCCCUUUGAAGCGCAGCUGCAACCCAGAUGUGGUCAACUAUCAUCUUGACUUCUGGUGUCACCAUCGUUGUUUCUUAUGAAAAAAAAUCAUUGCUCUUUCAUCGUUGAUUUGGUAUCAGUAAUCAUCUUAGCCAUCAAUCAACUUGUCAUCCACCAAUUUCGUUGUUGUGCCAUCGUUGAACUCCUCCCAAUGGUCACUCAAAUAUCUGGUAAGAGAUUCUAUUGUGGAAUGGUGCUAAAAGCAUUGCAGGACAAUGCUUAAUUCAACAUGCAAAAUUUCGUGGCAUCCAUAACAUUAAUAUUGUAAGGGACAUGUACUUUGAAGUUAAGUAUUAAUGUAAUUUUUUUGAGUUAGUUGUAUCUAA
Mangifera indica (mango) is the source of this 395-nucleotide long non-coding RNA. RefSeq lists it as uncharacterized. The record is from RefSeq and is a predicted model, not a curated record. The transcript has 2 exons. NCBI's taxonomy places the organism in Eukaryota, Viridiplantae, Streptophyta, Magnoliopsida, Sapindales, Anacardiaceae.